ACGGGUGAGUAACGCGUGGGAAUCUACCCAGUUCUACGGAACAACUGAGGGAAACUUCAGCUAAUACCGUAUACGCCCUACGGGGGAAAGAUUUAUCGGAAUUGGAUGAGCCCGCGUAAGAUUAGCUAGUUGGUGGGGUAAUGGCCUACCAAGGCGACGAUCUUUAGCUGGUCUGAGAGGAUGAUCAGCCACACUGGGACUGAGACACGGCCCAGACUCCUACGGGAGGCAGCAGUGGGGAAUAUUGGACAAUGGGCGCAAGCCUGAUCCAGCCAUGCCGCGUGAGUGAUGAAGGCCUUAGGGUUGUAAAGCUCUUUCAGUGGGGACGAUAAUGACGGUACCCACAGAAGAAGCCCCGGCUAACUUCGUGCCAGCAGCCGCGGUAAUACGAAGGGGGCUAGCGUUGUUCGGAUUUACUGGGCGUAAAGCGCACGUAGGCGGAUCGUUAAGUCGGGGGUGAAAUCCUGGAGCUCAACUCCAGAACUGCCUUCGAUACUGGCGAUCUUGAGUCCGGAAGAGGUGAGUGGAACUCCUAGUGUAGAGGUGGAACUCGUAGA
Molecule: ribosomal RNA, 557 nt
Filed under: uncultured bacterium
Lineage: Bacteria
Description: bacterial SSU rRNA
Rfam family: Bacterial small subunit ribosomal RNA
Source: RNAcentral